AGUAGUUAUGGAUGAGUCAUGCUUGCAUGAACGAAUUCAUAACUAUUGGACGAGCUAAACGGUAUGAGCAAGUAGGGCGGUAGCCCGGAUUGCGAAUGUCGUUGUCAACUGCGGGAGUGCAAUAGCACGGAGCAGUUG
This 138-nucleotide small RNA is filed under the name human gut metagenome. RNAcentral describes it as "Clostridiales-1 RNA". It matches the Rfam family "Clostridiales-1 RNA", at positions 16 to 157 of the family's 166-position model. The record is from RNAcentral.